Long non-coding RNA from Pipra filicauda (Wire-tailed manakin), 295 nucleotides. RefSeq lists it as uncharacterized. The transcript has 2 exons. NCBI's taxonomy places the organism in Eukaryota, Metazoa, Chordata, Aves, Passeriformes, Pipridae. The record is from RefSeq and is a predicted model, not a curated record.
GGGCUGGCAGACAGGGAUCUGCUCUUGCUGAAGCCUGUUGGACACGACCAUCAGGGCCAGUUAAUGCCCAGGGAGCUCAAGGCAGGAGUGCUACAGGGACAGCAAGAGUGGCUCUGGACUGCAGUGGUGUGACAAGUGCCCUUAAUCUCUCCCGUCAGAGUCUCGAAGGUGGGGAUGAGCUCCAAAGAUAACCACAUACAUGACAGUCUGUCUGGAAGCACAAGCUGCUCCAGUCCAGCCCAUGACAGAGUACAAGUGAGAGGGCCAAUAAAUAAUUGACCAUGGUGGUGAUUAA